This 885-nucleotide ribosomal RNA is filed under the name uncultured bacterium. RNAcentral's name for it is "bacterial SSU rRNA". It matches the Rfam family "Bacterial small subunit ribosomal RNA", at positions 92 to 989 of the family's 1533-position model. The record is from RNAcentral.
UUAGUGGCGGACGGGUGAGUAACGCGUGGGCAAUCUGCCCGUAAGAGGGGGAUAACACCUAGAAAUGGGUGCUAAUACCGCAUAACAUCAUAGGGUUGCAUGACCUUGUGAUCAAAGGAGAAAUCCGCUUAUGGAUGAGCCCGCGUCUGAUUAGCUAGUUGGUGGGGUAACGGCCUACCAAGGCGACGAUCAGUAGCCGGCCUGAGAGGGUGAUCGGCCACACUGGAACUGAGACACGGUCCAGACUCCUACGGGAGGCAGCAGUGGGGAAUCUUCCGCAAUGGGCGAAAGCCUGACGGAGCAACGCCGCGUGAGUGAUGAAGGCCUUCGGGUUGUAAAACUCUGUCUUCAGGGAAGAAAAAAAUGACGGUACCUGAGGAGGAAGCCACGGCUAACUACGUGCCAGCAGCCGCGGUAAUACGUAGGUGGCAAGCGUUGUCCGGAAUUACUGGGCGUAAAGAGCGCGUAGGCGGGGAUUUAAGUCAGGAGUGAAAACUACCGGCUCAACCGGUAGCCUGCUCUUGAAACUGAAUCUCUUGAGGGUAUGAGAGGAAAGCGGAAUUCCCAGUGUAGCGGUGAAAUGCGUAGAUAUUGGGAGGAACACCAGUGGCGAAGGCGGCUUUCUGGCAUACAACUGACGCUGAGGCGCGAAAGCGUGGGGAGUAAACGGGAUUAGAUACCCCGGUAGUCCACGCCGUAAACGAUGGGCACUAGGUGUAGGAGGUAUCGACCCCUUCUGUGCCGUAGUUAACACAAUAAGUGCCCCGCCUGGGGAGUACGGCCGCAAGGUUGAAACUCAAAGGAAUUGACGGGGGCCCGCACAAGCGGUGGAGUAUGUGGUUUAAUUCGACGCAACGCGAAGAACCUUACCAGGGCUUGACAUCC